CGCCCAGAGGGUUUGGCACGGGAUAUUACCGGGCGAAGGGAGAAGAGGUAACUGCCGGAAGGGGGAAACUGGAAAUACCGCAAUAUCGGGACAUAAGUAGAGUAAGAAAGUUUUUUCGCUUCCGAUGAGCCUGCGGCCUAUUAGCCUGUUGGUAGGGUAAUGGCCUACCAAAGCUACGAUAGGUAGCCGACCUGAGAGGGUGACCGGCCACAUUGGGACUGAGAUACGGCCCAGACUCCUACGGGAGGCAGCAACUGAGAAUCUUCCACAAUGGACGAAAGUCUGAUGGAGCGACAUCGCGUGAGGGAUGAAGGCCUUCGGGUUGUAAACCUCGGAAAUUAUCGAAGAAUGAGUGACAGUAGAUAAUGUAAGCCUCGGCUAACUACGUGCCAGCAGCCGCGGUAAUACGUAGGAAGCAAACGUUGCUCGGAUUC
Molecule: ribosomal RNA, 434 nt
Filed under: Brachyspira pilosicoli
Lineage: Bacteria; Pseudomonadati; Spirochaetota; Spirochaetia; Brachyspirales; Brachyspiraceae
Description: bacterial SSU rRNA
Rfam family: Bacterial small subunit ribosomal RNA
Source: RNAcentral